CAAACAAAAAAUAACAACAAUUCAAAUAAUUCAUAAUCAUAUCUGUUUUAAAAAACAGUUACUGACAUCCAAAUGUAUCACUCCUCACUACAGCGCACUGGUGUGUCACUAGUGCAAACUAUGUCAAAACACAGAUGUCUGCUGAUGGCACGUCUGGACAGCGAGAUAAAGACUAAAGAUGACAGAUCUUUCCACGUGAUUAAACGUAUUUCUAACCCCGAAGAGCGGCGUUAAGUUUCUGUUCUGACGCUCUGAUCCCAUUUAUUGUGUCAAAACAUUGCAUCUCGUCCGAUAUGACCAAAAAGGCCUCGACAGAGGAUGCUGAGAAGACCGAAGCGAGCAGGAGCAAGCAGCUGUGUGACUAUCUGGUGUCCUUAAUGUGAUUACCAUGACUGCAGAUUGACGGCAUACACAAGCUUAGAGUAUCUCUUGUGCUUGGCACCACAUGUCGAGACUCAGUAGGAGUUCCCAUCCGACUGCCCAUCAGCCAAUCACAUCUCUCAAGCCGUCUGGCCUGAUUUUUAUUUACAAAUGUUUCAGUUUUAUUCUCUUGAGAGUAGCCCUGGAUGCAACUGGCUCCUAUGGCCGACGUUGUGUCUGAUCGGGCCAUGUGGGAGCAGGAAAGACACGGCUGUCCCAUGGGCUGAGAUUAGAGAGGGUCUGAUAGCACUGAGGUUUGCUAUGUCUGCCUGGCUGAGUACAUUGUUCUACUGUAACAUAUGGGCCAGACCACACACACAGCCAGAAGAGAAGCCAUUCCGGAGGUCAUGACGAGGAAGUGCAACAAUUCACCAAGAAUAAUUGGGGACAAUUAGCAUUUGCACAAUUUCCUAACUCUUCUGAUUUGUUUUUGGCGAUCUAAUGGAGGAUAAAUCACUGUCAAACAUCCGCUCACUUUCAGUAAAUCUGCCUGGAUUUUCAGUUGUUGCUUAAAGUGGUGAUAGUAGCCAUGGCUGCAGAGUUCCUCUGAACAAAUGAAUCACUAGCCUGGCUCUAAAAGCAUGAAUUCAUGAUUUGUGUUGCAAUUUUUACCAUGCAUAAUUAAACUUUUGAACAUAACUAAACACCCCAUUUCCUGUUCAUAACAUGG
Larimichthys crocea (large yellow croaker) is the source of this 1090-nucleotide long non-coding RNA. RefSeq lists it as uncharacterized. The transcript has 4 exons. Lineage: Eukaryota; Metazoa; Chordata; Actinopteri; Sciaenidae. The record is from RefSeq and is a predicted model, not a curated record.